GUACUGAUGAAGAGUCCCAAACUAGGACUAAACAGCUGUUCAGUAC
This 46-nucleotide non-coding RNA is filed under the name Trichobilharzia regenti. Lineage: Eukaryota; Metazoa; Platyhelminthes; Trematoda; Strigeidida; Schistosomatidae. The record is from RNAcentral.